GCUUUCUUAGUAUAACUAAGUAUAAUUGCCUUCCAAGCAAUGGGAUUAAAAUAACAUUUAAAGAAAGUA
Molecule: transfer RNA, 69 nt
Filed under: Entemnotrochus adansonianus
Lineage: Eukaryota; Metazoa; Mollusca; Gastropoda; Pleurotomariida; Pleurotomariidae
Description: tRNA-Gly
Source: RNAcentral